UAUGCACGUAACACGCCCAGCUGCGCUAGAGGAAAGGUGUCUCCGGGAUUGGAGUAACGCUUGUUUGUGUCUUUGUAUUUUGAUUCUGGUAUCAGGGAUUCAGGAAGAGUUGCUCAGCUUUUUGUGUUUUGGUUCUGAUGCAGCUUUGAAGGAGAGUUGUUCAGUUGCGCCUAGUUUCUUUUAGCUGUAUGAUGAUGUGGUAUUUAUUUUUUGUGCUAUUGCUUGGUUUACUCAUUACUAAAUAAUCUUAUGCUAAAUGUGAGAAGGAAUAUUCGACUGAGUUAGACGUUGCUCCUCCGAAAAAUGUAAAUAUUUUACCUUCGUGUUUUCCCGAACAAAUAGUUGAAGUCUCAAAUGAAUUCGAAUUCAAGGAAAGAUCAGAAUUUGCAACGGAAUCGGGUAACAAGUUUAACUUUUUUUUUUUCCGAAGAUUUAAGCGAUCCUAAUAAUAUAUUUAAAUUUUACUAUAUGGGAAGAUAGAUAUAUACAUAAACACAGGUAUAAAAAUACACUAGUUUAUACUUUUCUUUUACUAUAUCGUACUUGGUAUACACUGAGAUACAUAAUCGUGGAGUCAAAAUUCGUUAUUUGUUUGUAAUUGGAUCGCAACCAUAAUAUAUUGCGUUAUGGUCGUCCAUCAGAAUCAUCCGACUCACGGGCCCAUCGGGACACCGACACGACUAACACAUUCAAGAACUGAUUCGGCCGAAGCUGAAGCCUGCACUGUCAACCCAACAACUCCUAACAGACGCAAUGGACGACAUGGCAGCUUACUACGCUCAACCUGCCGCUCACUACGCUUACUACCAGGCCCCUCCUCCGCCGCCCGGAGCGACGGCGCCGGCGCCACCUCAAGUUGUUGUCCCAGCGCCACAGCACCAACUCCUCCACCACCCGUACGUCCCGCACCAACCGCCUCCCCUCUCAUCGUACGCGUCUCUCUUUGCUUCGCACUCUUCCCGGGACGAGGUCCGGACUCUCUUCAUUGCAGGUCUUCCCGAUGAUGUCAAGCCCCGCGAGAUUUACAAUUUAUUGCGGGAAUUCCCGGGUUACGAGUCUUCGCAUCUUCGUGGCCCCAGCCAGUCUCAGAAUUCUCAGCCCUUUGCUUUUGCUGUAUUCUCGGAUCAGCAAUCUGCAGUAGCAGCAAUGCAUGCGCUUAAUGGGAUGGUGUUUGAUCUUGAGAAGGGUUCAUCUUUAUAUAUUGACCUUGCCAAGUCAAAUUCCAGAUCCAAGCGCUCAAGGGCAGAUGAUGAAUGGCCUGGCUCAGAUAAGAAAGCUAGAGGAUCCAUCUCUAGGAGCAUUCCUGAUUCGGGUUUUGGCAGCGUUCACUUGCCUGGAAUGAGUAAUUCUGCUUACAACACGAUUGGUUAUUCAUCUACACAAAGUCAUGAGAGUUUUGAUGCUAGAGCUGCAAAUGGGACAGCAUCUAGAUUGAAUAAUUCCACAGCACAAAAUGCUACCCCAUGUCCAACACUUUUUGUGGCUAAUUUAGGGCCAACUGUUACAGAGCAAGAAUUAACUCAAGUAUUUUCAAGUUGCCCUGGGUUUUUGAAAUUGAAGAUGCAGAGUACGUAUGGGGCACCAGUUGCAUUUGUUGAUUUUCAGGACACUGCCUGUUCAACCGGGGCACUAAAUAGUCUGCAAGGCACGAUUUUGUACUCAUCAUCAGCAGGCGAUGGCAUGCGAUUGGAGUAUGCAAGAUCUCGGAUGGGAAUGCGUAAGAAGGUCAAGUGAUUGUAAAUGAAAGUAGGGAGCAUAAAUAUUUUCUGGUGCACUUACCUCGCCGGCAGAUUAACUUCAAACAGGACUGUACCAAAAUAGAUUUGCUUAAAUCAGGGUGAGAUGCAGCUAACCGGCCGAGCCGAACCUUCCAAAGUUUAGGGUAAUGUUAUUUUCGCCAGGCAUAUUCAUAUUUUUGCAGAUUGAAUAAGACCCUAGUAGUGCUUAAUCCUGUAUGCAUGCACGAGUCAUUUUGGCUCUCAGAGAUUGUUGUCUUUGAAAAUGAGAUCUGAUGCGUAAAGCUUAAAUCAUGUCUCUGUUAUAUAGCAAA
This is an RNA transcript of Carica papaya (papaya), 2050 nucleotides long. It is a transcript of the gene named RNA-binding (RRM/RBD/RNP motifs) family protein, with no coding region annotated. The record is from RefSeq and is a predicted model, not a curated record. Lineage: Eukaryota; Viridiplantae; Streptophyta; Magnoliopsida; Brassicales; Caricaceae.